GAUCAUGGCUCAGGAUGAACGCUGGCGGCGUGCUUAACACAUGCAAGUCGAGCGAAGCACUUUGCUUUGAUUUCUUCAGGAUGAAGAGCUUAGUGACUGAGCGGCGGACGGGUGAGUAACGCGUGGGUAACCUGCCUCAUACAGGGGGGUAACAGUUAGAAAUGACUGCUAAUACCGCAUAAGGCCACAGCACCGCAUGGUGCAGGGGUAAAAACUCCGGUGGU
RNAcentral lists this ribosomal RNA (224 nucleotides) under uncultured bacterium. RNAcentral describes it as "partial 16S ribosomal RNA". It matches the Rfam family "Bacterial small subunit ribosomal RNA", at positions 15 to 219 of the family's 1533-position model. The record is from RNAcentral.